GGUAGUGUGGCCGAGCGGUCUAAGGCGCUGGAUUUAGGCUCCAGUCUCUCUGGAAGCGUGGGUUCGAAUCCCGCCGCUGCUA
This 82-nucleotide transfer RNA is filed under the name Astyanax mexicanus (Mexican tetra). It matches the Rfam family "tRNA". From Rfam's summary of the family: Transfer RNA (tRNA) molecules are approximately 80 nucleotides in length. Their secondary structure includes four short double-helical elements and three loops (D, anti-codon, and T loops). Further hydrogen bonds mediate the characteristic L-shaped molecular structure. tRNAs have two regions of fundamental functional importance: the anti-codon, which is responsible for specific mRNA codon recognition, and the 3' end, to which the tRNAs corresponding amino acid is attached (by aminoacyl-tRNA synthetases). tRNAs cope with the degeneracy of the genetic code in two manners: having more than one tRNA (with a specific anti-codon) for a particular amino acid; and 'wobble' base-pairing, i.e. permitting non-standard base-pairing at the 3rd anti-codon position. The record is from Rfam by way of RNAcentral. Lineage: Eukaryota; Metazoa; Chordata; Actinopteri; Characiformes; Acestrorhamphidae.